Molecule: ribosomal RNA, 468 nt
Filed under: uncultured bacterium
Lineage: Bacteria
Description: bacterial SSU rRNA
Rfam family: Bacterial small subunit ribosomal RNA
Source: RNAcentral
AGUGAACGCUGGCGGCGUGCUUAACACAUGCAAGUCGAACGAGAACGGAUUAUAGCUUGCUAUAAUUGUCAGCUAAGUGGCGCACGGGUGAGUAAUAUAUAGGUAAUGUGCCCUAGAGAAGAGGAUAACAGAUGGAAACGUCUGCUAAGACUCUAUAUGCCUUUAUGACAAAAGUCAGCAAGGGAAAUAUUUAUAGCUUUGGGAUCGGCCUGUACAGUAUCAGUUAGUUGGUGAGGUAAUGGCUCACCAAGACAAUGACGCUUAACUGGUUUGAGAGGAUGAUCAGUCACACUGGAACUGAGACACGGUCCAGACUCCUACGGGAGGCAGCAGUGGGGAAUAUUGCACAAUGGACGAAAGUCUGAUGCAGCAACGCCGCGUGGAGGAUGACACAUUUCGGUGCGUAAACUCCUUUUAUAUGGGAAGAUAAUGACGGUACCAUAUGAAUAAGCACCGGCUAACUCCGUG